This is a non-coding RNA of Acanthosepion pharaonis, 112 nucleotides long. The record is from the annotation of a GenBank genome assembly. NCBI's taxonomy places the organism in Eukaryota, Metazoa, Mollusca, Cephalopoda, Sepiida, Sepiidae.
ACAGCCACACCACAUAGAAACACCGGUUCCUGUACGAUCACCGAAGUUAAGCAACAUCAGUCUUGGUCAGUACCUAGAUGGGUGACCGCUUGGGAAUACCAGGUGCUGUAAG